AGCAUCAUACCAAAGAUCUCCCUUUGUCAGGUAGUGAAGAACUCUCAGGAAGCGACUGGCAUACAAGUGACGUACUACGCAACUGCUGCUAUGCUGUGUCAUCCCCCGGGGAAGGUGAUUGGAGGCUAGGGCACUUUUCUUGGUGAGGCUGGACCAGACCAUGGCAGUGUGAUGUUCCGUUAGGGGCUGCCCUCUACCUCAACGACAAGGGACAUGAUGCUGAGAGCACCCAAGGCUGGUCUCCUGGGACGUUCAUACGGUGGCCCUGGUUUCGGUGACCUCACCCGGAUGUUAAGUCAAUCUCAGUUGGAACACCUUGCCCCUGGCCUGCAGAUGCUACAGGAAUGGGGACAUAACUGCUGCUUCGGCAAACCAAAUAAUCCUAUACAAGAGGCCGAAUAGGCAGAGGCUAGACAGCAAGAAAGUGGUUGUCCACACUGAGCAGAUAGCUGCUGAUAUUGACUAUGUUGGCAGAUGCUACCAGGGAUGUUGAUGUUGGGUUCAUGAUGAUGCUCACACCAUCUAAAGAACACAAUGAUGACAUUUUGCCAUGGUAACAGCACGAAGGACGACCAUGGAGGAAGGAACACGCUCGCCUCGGAGUGGAAUCUUGAUAUCAUGCAAUUUAUUUUGGACAUCUUAUCAUCCCGCCUUUCUAUGAGAUUUCAUUUUUGUUCAGCCAUUUAUGGUUACUCUGAUAUUUUUAAAUAGUCGAAUGUGAGCAAACUGAUUCAGCUUUUUGGCUUUUUAAUGCUGUCUUUCUUUGAAACUAGUUGUUCAUUUGCUUUCGAUCGUGGUGCAUUUCUUCAAAUUUAGCUUGGCUGCUUCCUCAUAGGCUCACUCAUGGCUUACAAAGCAAUUUCCAAACUGAAAGAAUUGCAUUUACGAAUUAUGAAGAUAAGCUAUACUUAACACGUGUUUAAUAUUUGCUUGAACAUUUUUUGAAAGUCACGGCUCUUAAUACACACCAGAAAGCUUUUUUUUUUACAUUUUCUGAGUGCAGUAAACUUAUAUUUCUGUACAGUGUCUCGACACGAAACAGUAGUAGUACAUUAUCAUUAAUUUAGUUAUGCUUUGCCACUGUUCCAGUCAAUCCCCACAAUGUGCGUUUGCUAUUGUAAACUUGAAUAAAAUUGGCGAACUCUUUAAAUCUAGAUUUUAUUUGUAUUAGCAUUUGAAUAAAGCUAUUUCAGUGUUUGGUAGUUGAAACUAAACACCUCUGAGUGUGAACUUGGUAA
Acanthaster planci (crown-of-thorns starfish) is the source of this 1238-nucleotide long non-coding RNA. RefSeq lists it as uncharacterized. The record is from RefSeq and is a predicted model, not a curated record. Lineage: Eukaryota; Metazoa; Echinodermata; Asteroidea; Valvatida; Acanthasteridae.